This 253-nucleotide ribosomal RNA is filed under the name uncultured bacterium. Its description in RNAcentral is "partial 16S ribosomal RNA". It matches the Rfam family "Bacterial small subunit ribosomal RNA", at positions 524 to 776 of the family's 1533-position model. The record is from RNAcentral.
UACGUAGGUGGCAAGCGUUGUCCGGAUUUACUGGGCGUAAAGAGCGCGCAGGCGGUCGGAUUAGUCGCGUGUGAAAGCCCCCGGCUCAACUGGGGAGGGUCACGCGAUACUGUUCGACUCGAAGGCAGGAGAGGGAAGUGGAAUUCCCGGUGUAGUGGUGAAAUGCGUAGAUAUCGGGAGGAACACCUGUGGCGAAAGCGGCUCACUGGACCACAACUGACGCUGAGGCGCGAAAGCUAGGGGAGCAAACAGG